GGAUGUGGCUCAAGUGGUAAUGUGCUCGCCUGGCAUGCGCAGGAUGCUGAGUUCGAUUCUCAGCACCA
RNAcentral lists this transfer RNA (68 nucleotides) under Marmota monax (woodchuck). RNAcentral describes it as "tRNA.Ala". Lineage: Eukaryota; Metazoa; Chordata; Mammalia; Rodentia; Sciuridae. The record is from RNAcentral.